CAGCCGCCGCGGUAAUACGAGGGGGGCAAGCGUUGUUCGGAAUUAUUGGGCGUAAAGGGUGCGUAGGCGGUUCAGCAAGUCUCGUGUGAAAUCUUCGGGCUCAACCCGAAGUCUGCACGGGAAACUACUGGGCUUGAGUAAUGGAGAGGUGAGUGGAAUUUCCGGUGUAGCGGUGAAAUGCGUAGAUAUCGGAAGGAACACCUGUGGCGAAAGCGGCUCACUGGACAUUUACUGACGCUGAUGCACGAAAGCUAGGGGAGCAAACAGGAUUAGAUACCCCCGUAGUCCCUGUCUCUUAUAC
RNAcentral lists this ribosomal RNA (301 nucleotides) under uncultured bacterium. RNAcentral describes it as "partial 16S ribosomal RNA". It matches the Rfam family "Bacterial small subunit ribosomal RNA", at positions 509 to 807 of the family's 1533-position model. The record is from RNAcentral.